AAAGGAGAAAAUAAAAAAAAAGGGUUGCACGAUGGUUGAGAAAUAACGAAGGCAUCUGUGAGCGAAGAGAAACAGAACAAAGGCGUUCAGAUUGGAAGGGUUCGGAGGCAAUAAGGAAAGGAAAGACAUUGGAGAAAUAGUUGCUUGACUUCGAUUCUUCGGUGGAGUAAGUGUACCAUCGACUUCAACUCGCCCUCAGCUCUAGUCAGUCUCCAGCA
Solanum pennellii is the source of this 218-nucleotide long non-coding RNA. RefSeq lists it as uncharacterized. The record is from RefSeq and is a predicted model, not a curated record. The transcript is spliced from 3 exons. Lineage: Eukaryota; Viridiplantae; Streptophyta; Magnoliopsida; Solanales; Solanaceae.